This 254-nucleotide ribosomal RNA is filed under the name uncultured bacterium. Its description in RNAcentral is "partial 16S ribosomal RNA". It matches the Rfam family "Bacterial small subunit ribosomal RNA", at positions 524 to 776 of the family's 1533-position model. The record is from RNAcentral.
UACGAAGGGGGCUAGCGUUGCUCGGAAUCACUGGGCGUAAAGGGUGCGUAGGCGGGUCUUUAAGUCAGGGGUGAAAUCCUGGAGCUCAACUCCAGAACUGCCUUCGAUACUGGCGAUCUUGGAGUCCGGGAGAGGUGAGUGGAACUCCGAGUGUAGAGGUGAAAUUCGUAGAUAUUCGGAAGAACACCAGUGGCGAAGGCGGCUCACUGGCCCGGUACUGACGCUGAGGUGCGAAAGCGUGGGGAGCAAACAGG